RNAcentral lists this ribosomal RNA (459 nucleotides) under uncultured bacterium. Its description in RNAcentral is "bacterial SSU rRNA". It matches the Rfam family "Bacterial small subunit ribosomal RNA", at positions 36 to 507 of the family's 1533-position model. The record is from RNAcentral.
CUGGCGGCGUGCCUAACACAUGCAAGUCGAACGAGGGUUUGGAAAGCUUGCUUUCCGAAACCUAGUGGCGGACGGGUGAGUAACGCGUGAGUAACCUGCCUUUCAGAGGGAAUAACGUUCUGAAAAGAACGCUAAUACCGCAUAACGUACAGUUACCGCAUGGUAGCAGUACCAAAGGAGCAAUCCGCUUUGAGAUGGCCUCGCGUCCGAUUAGCUAGUUGGUGAGGUAAUGGCCCACCAAGGCGACGAUCGGUAGCCGGACUGAGAGGUUGAACGGCCACAUUGGGACUGAGACACGGCCCAGACUCCUACGGGAGGCAGCAGUGGGGAAUAUUGCACAAUGGGGGAAACCCUGAUGCAGCGACGCCGCGUGGAGGAAGAAGGUCUUCGGAUUGUAAACUCCUGUUGUUGAGGAAGAUAAUGACGGUAUUCAACAAGGAAGUGACGGCUAACUACGUG